This 456-nucleotide ribosomal RNA is filed under the name uncultured bacterium. RNAcentral describes it as "bacterial SSU rRNA". It matches the Rfam family "Bacterial small subunit ribosomal RNA", at positions 1 to 507 of the family's 1533-position model. The record is from RNAcentral.
GUCACGAGUUUGAUCCUGGCUCAGAACGAACGCUGGCGGCAUGCCUAACACAUGCAAGUCGAACGAGAUCUUCGGAUCUAGUGGCGCACGGGUGCGUAACGCGUGGGAAUCUGCCCUUUGCUUCGGAAUAACAGUUAGAAAUGACUGCUAAUACCGGAUGAUGUCUUCGGACCAAAGAUUUAUCGGCAAAGGAUGAGCCCGCGUAGGAUUAGGUAGUUGGUGGGGUAAAGGCCUACCAAGCCGACGAUCCUUAGCUGGUCUGAGAGGAUGAUCAGCCACACUGGGACUGAGACACGGCCCAGACUCCUACGGGAGGCAGCAGUGGGGAAUAUUGGACAAUGGGCGAAAGCCUGAUCCAGCAAUGCCGCGUGAGUGAUGAAGGCCUUCGGGUCGUAAAGCUCUUUACCAGGGAUGAUAAUGACAGUACCUGGAGAAUAAGCUCCGGCUAACUCCGUG